UUUAGAUAAUCACCUCUCUCUCAUUCCUCGACACUGGUUCACUCCUCUCUCAUAGCCGGUGAAUCGCCGCCGGUGAAUCGCCGGAGUUCAGUCUAGCCGCUCCUCUUUGAUCUUCUUCAUCGGAGAUCUCUCGCCGGAGUUCAGGUUUAGCUCCUCUCUCUCGCGAUCUCUCCUUAUCUAUUUGUCUCUCAUGCGCGCUCUCUCUCUCUCUGUGUAUCUAUUUGUGUCCUUGUCUCAUGGGUUUUUCUCACUCCAGUCUAGCCGCUCCUCUUUAAUCUUCUUCUUCACGGAUCUCUCGCCGGAGUUCAGGUUUAGCUCCUCUCUCGUGAUCUCUACUUAUCUCUCGUUACUUGUGAUUCGAUUUUUACUUUAAUCAUUGAAAUCUCGAAGUGGGUUUCAGGUGUUACGGAUUGAAAUAGCUGCAGCUACCGUAUGAGAGGUAAGAUAUAUCUCUGAUUCAUGAUUUUUAUGUGUAUCAAUGGAGAUGUGUGUGAUGGCUUGGUUUGAUUUC
This is a non-coding RNA of Camelina sativa (false flax), 511 nucleotides long. Lineage: Eukaryota; Viridiplantae; Streptophyta; Magnoliopsida; Brassicales; Brassicaceae. The record is from RefSeq and is a predicted model, not a curated record.